GGAAGGACUGUAGCUCGGUGGCAGAGAAUCUGUUUUGUGUACAGAAGGUCCCAGGUUCAGUCCCCAGCAUCUCCA
Molecule: non-coding RNA, 75 nt
Organism: Podarcis lilfordi (Lilford's wall lizard)
Lineage: Eukaryota; Metazoa; Chordata; Lepidosauria; Squamata; Lacertidae
Source: the annotation of a GenBank genome assembly